AUUGAACGCUGGCGGCAGGCCUAACACAUGCAAGUCGAGCGGAUGAAGGGAGCUUGCUCCUGGAUUCAGCGGCGGACGGGUGAGUAAUGCCUAGGAAUCUGCCUGGUAGUGGGGGCUAACGUCCGGAAACGGGCGCUAAUACCGCAUACGUCCUGAGGGAGAAAGUGGGGGAUCUUCGGACCUCACGCUAUCAGAUGAGCCUAGGUCGGAUUAGCUAGUUGGUGGGGUAAAGGCCUACCAAGGCGACGAUCCGUAACUGGUCUGAGAGGAUGAUCAGUCACACUGGAACUGAGACACGGUCCAGACUCCUACGGGAGGCAGCAGUGGGGAAUAUUGGCCAAUGGGCGAAAGCCUGAUCCAGCAAUGCCGCGUGUGUGAAGAAGGUCUUCGGAUUGUAAAGCACUUUAAGUUGGGAGGAAGGGCAGUGAGUUAAUACCUUGCUGUUUUGACAUUACCAACACAAUAAGCACCGGCUAACUUCGUG
This 484-nucleotide ribosomal RNA is filed under the name uncultured bacterium. Its description in RNAcentral is "partial 16S ribosomal RNA". It matches the Rfam family "Bacterial small subunit ribosomal RNA", at positions 30 to 507 of the family's 1533-position model. The record is from RNAcentral.